Molecule: small nuclear RNA, 318 nt
Filed under: Panthera pardus (leopard)
Lineage: Eukaryota; Metazoa; Chordata; Mammalia; Carnivora; Felidae
Description: 7SK RNA (ENSPPRG00000017253.1)
Rfam family: 7SK RNA (bases 1-283)
About the family: 7SK was discovered as an abundant small nuclear RNA in the mid-70s but a possible function has only recently been suggested. Two independent studies have found that 7SK RNA binds the CDK9/cyclin T complex (known as elongation factor P-TEFb).
Source: RNAcentral
CGAUGUGAGGGCGAUCUGGCUGCGACAUCUGUCACCCCAUUGAUCGCCAGGGUUGAUUCGGCUGAAUGCCUGGCUAGGCGGGUGUCCCCUUUCUCCCUCACUGCUCCAUGUGCGUCUCUCCCGAAGCUGCACGAUCAGUUGAAGAGGACGACCUUCCCCGAUAGAGGAGGACUGUUCUUCGGUCAAGGGUAUACAAGUAGCUGCGCUCCCCUGCUAGAACCUCCAAACAAGCUCUCAAGUUGCCAAAACAGGUGUUGAUUCCAUAACUAUAACCAGCAAAAUUGACUGAACUACAUCUAAAGGGGGCACAUUCUGUUU